Molecule: ribosomal RNA, 235 nt
Filed under: uncultured bacterium
Lineage: Bacteria
Description: partial 16S ribosomal RNA
Rfam family: Bacterial small subunit ribosomal RNA
Source: RNAcentral
GAUCAUGGCUCAGGACGAACGCUGGCGGCGCGCCUAACACAUGCAAGUCGAACGAGAGAUGAGGAGCUUGCUCUUCAAAUCGAGUGGCGAACGGGUGAGUAACGCGUGAGGAACCUGCCUCAAAGAGGGGGACGAACAGUUGGAAACGACUGCUAAUACCGCAUAAGCCCACGGCUCGGCAUCGAGCAGAGGGAAAAGGAGCAAUCCGCUUUGAGAUGGCCUCGCGUCCGAUUAG